CAUAACAACUUGGACCGCAUGGUCCGAGUUUGAAAGAUGGCUUCGGCUAUCACUUUUGGAUGGUCCCGCGGCGUAUUAGCUAGAUGGUGGGGUAACGGCUCACCAUGGCAAUGAUACGUAGCCGACCUGAGAGGGUAAUCGGCCACAUUGGGACUGAGACACGGCCCAAACUCCUACGGGAGGCAGCAGUAGGGAAUCUUCCACAAUGGACGAAAGUCUGAUGGAGCAACGCCGCGUGAGUGAAGAAGGGUUUCGGCUCGUAAAACUCUGUUGUUAAAGAAGAACAUAUCUGAGAGUAACUGUUCAGGUAUUGACGGUAUUUAACCAGAAAGCCACGGCUAACUACGUGCCAGCAGCCGCGGUAAUACGUAGGUGGCAAGCGUUGUCCGGAUUUAUUGGGCGUAAAGCGAGCGCAGGCGGUUUUUUAAGUCUGAUGUGAAAGCCUUCGGCUCAACCGAAGAAGUGCAUCGGAAACUGGGAAACUUGAGUGCAGAAGAGGACAGUGGAACUCCAUGUGUAGCGGUGAAAUGCGUAGAUAUAUGGAAGAACACCAGUGGCGAAGGCGGCUGUCUGGUCUGUAACUGACGCUGAGGCUCGAAAGUAUGGGUAGCAAACAGGAUUAGAUACCCUGGUAGUCCAUACCGUAAACGAUGAAUGCUAAGUGUUGGAGGGUUUCCGCCCUUCAGUGCUGCAGCUAACGCAUUAAGCAUUCCGCCGGGGGAGUACGGCCGCAAGGCUGAAACUCAAAGGAAUUGACGGGGGCCCGCACAAGCGGUGAAGCAUGUGGUUUAAUUCGAAGCUACGCGAAGAACCUUACCAGGUCUUGACAUACUAUGCAAAUCUAAGAAGAUUAGACGUUCCCUUCGGGGAAAUGGAAUACAGGGGGGGCAUGGUUGUCGUCAGCUCGGGCC
RNAcentral lists this ribosomal RNA (911 nucleotides) under Lactiplantibacillus plantarum. Its description in RNAcentral is "bacterial SSU rRNA". It matches the Rfam family "Bacterial small subunit ribosomal RNA", at positions 172 to 1066 of the family's 1533-position model. The record is from RNAcentral. Lineage: Bacteria; Bacillati; Bacillota; Bacilli; Lactobacillales; Lactobacillaceae.